UUUUUUUUUUUUGAGACGGAGUCUCACUCUGUCGCUGAGGCUGGAGUGCAGUGGCACAAUCUUGGUUCACUGCAGCCUCCGUUUCAUGGGUUCAGGCAAUUCUCCUGAACAAGCAUCCGCCACCAUGCUUGGCUAAUUUUUUUGUAUUUUUAGUAGAGAUAAGAUGUUGGCCAGGCUGGUCUCAAACUCCUGACCUCAAAUGAUCCACCCGCCUUGGCUUCCCAAAGUGUUGGGAUUACAGACGUGAGCCACCACGCCCGGUCAACACUGGGUCUUGCCCAAGACCUUUGCCUUCAGGGCAGUGAGUUCCACCAGGUCCCAGGUGUGUCCAGAGAUGUUGUCUGGGAGCCAGGGAUUAUGAUAAAAAAUUUUAGCAGUUUACCUGAUGUUCUAUUCUACACAGCUAAGCUAGCCCACCUCUAAGCCCAGCCUAGCACUAGGAAUUGCGUAGGAAUUGUAGUCCUUGUGUCCUAGACCACCUCUCAAGUUUACUUGGGACCCCAGAGAAACUCAAGUUCCAACCAUUGGGAUGAGCCAGCUCCCCUCUGGCUAGGGCUGGUCCAAAUGUUUUUUGCAUGUGUGGGUGCUGGGCUCAUGGCUUUAUCUGCUGUGACAGGGCAGCACUGAGUUCAAUGUAAAGUACCCCAAUGUAAAGUACCCCAGUCACUGUGCUUUCUCUCCCCAAAGUGCAGAGAUUCUCUCUAUGCCACAUGGCUGCUGCCAGGGGAUGGGGGAGGGGUGGCAUUGGUGAUUCAAGACUGCCCUCCUCAAUGCCUUUUUAGUGAUAUGAAGUUAAAACCAUGUACUAUGAUCGCUCAUCUGAUUUUUUGGUUCUUGUUAUGGUGCUUUUCUGUGCGUCCAUAAUUAUUAAAAUGUGGUGUUCCAGUAGCAGGGACAAACAGUGUAGCCUUCUAUUCUGCCAUCUUGCUCUGCCUCUUCACUAGUGAGUUUUGUACGUUCAUAUGAUUUCUUGCUUAUCAACAUUCUUUUCUUUCAGAAU
This 1000-nucleotide long non-coding RNA is filed under the name Macaca fascicularis (crab-eating macaque). RNAcentral describes it as "lncRNA (ENSMFAG00000056129.1)". Lineage: Eukaryota; Metazoa; Chordata; Mammalia; Primates; Cercopithecidae. The record is from RNAcentral.